RNAcentral lists this ribosomal RNA (261 nucleotides) under uncultured bacterium. RNAcentral's name for it is "partial 16S ribosomal RNA". It matches the Rfam family "Bacterial small subunit ribosomal RNA", at positions 95 to 354 of the family's 1533-position model. The record is from RNAcentral.
CCGGCGCACGGGUGAGUAACGCGUAUGCAACUUACCUAUCAGGAGGGGGAUAACCCGGCGAAAGUCGGACUAAUACCGCAUGAAGCAGGGGCCCCGCAUGGGGAUAUUUGCUAAAGAUUCAUCGCUGAUAGAUAGGCAUGCGUUCCAUUAGGCAGUUGGCGGGGUAACGGCCCACCAAACCGACGAUGGAUAGGGGUUCUGAGAGGAAGGUCCCCCACAUUGGUACUGAGACACGGACCAAACUCCUACGGGAGGCAGCAG